GAAAGGUGAAAAGCACCCCGGAAGGGGAGUGAAAUAGAUCCUGAAACCGUGUGCCUACAACAAGUCAAAGCUCGUUAAUGAGUGAUGGCGUGCCUUUUGUAGAAUGAACCGGCGAGUUACGAUUGCAUGCGAGGUUAAGUCGAAGAGACGGAGCCGCAGCGAAAGCGAGUCUGAAUAGGGCGAAUGAGUAUGUAGUCGUAGACCCGAAACCAUGUGAUCUACCCAUGUCCAGGUUGAAGGUGCGGUAAAACGCACUGGAGGACCGAACCCACGUACGUUGAAAAGUGCGGGGAUGAGGUGUGGGUAGCGGAGAAAUUCCAAACGAACUUGGAGAUAGCUGGUUCUCUCCGAAAUAGCUUUAGGGCUAGCCUCGGAAUUGAGAAUGAUGGAGGUAGAGCACUGUUUGGACUAGGGGCCCAUCUCGGGUUACCGAAUUCAGAUAAACUCCGAAUGCCAUUCAUUUAUAUCCGGGAGUCAGACUGCGAGUGAUAAGAUCCGUAGUCGAAAGGGAAACAGCCCAGACCACCAGCUAAGGUCCCAAAAUAUAUGUUAAGUGGAAAAGGAUGUGGCGUUGCCCAGACAACUAGGAUGUUGGCUUAGAAGCAGCCAUCAUUUAAAGAGUGCGUAAUAGCUCACUAGUCGAGUGACACUGCGCCGAAAAUGUACCGGGGCUAAACAUAUUACCGAAGCUGUGGACUACACCAUUAGGUGUAGUGGUAGGAGAGCGUUCUAAGGGCGUUGAAGGUCGAUCGUGAGGACGGCUGGAGCGCUUAGAAGUGAGAAUGCCGGUAUGAGUAGCGAAAGACAGGUGAGAAUCCUGUCCACCGUAUGACUAAGGUUUCCUGGGGAAGGCUCGUCCGCCCAGGGUUAGUCGGGACCUAAGCCGAGGCCGAUAGGCGUAGGCGAUGGACAACAGGUUGAUAUUCCUGUACCAGUUGUUUUUGUUUGAGCAAUGGAGGGACGCAGUAGGCUAAGGAAUGCAUGCGAUUGGAAGUGCAUGUCCAAGCAAUGAGUCUUGAGUAGAGUUAAAUGCUUUACUCUCUAAGGACAAGUUGUGACGGGGAGCGAAAUAAUAGUAGCGAAGUUCCUGAUGUCACACUGCCAAGAAAAGCUUCUAGUGAGAAAACAACUGCCCGUACCGUAAACCGACACAGGUAGUCGAGGAGAGUAUCCUAAGGUGAGCGAGCGAACUCUCGUUAAGGAACU
RNAcentral lists this ribosomal RNA (1206 nucleotides) under Staphylococcus sp. HMSC072E01. RNAcentral's name for it is "bacterial LSU rRNA". It matches the Rfam family "Bacterial large subunit ribosomal RNA", at positions 509 to 1714 of the family's 2925-position model. The record is from RNAcentral. Lineage: Bacteria; Bacillati; Bacillota; Bacilli; Caryophanales; Staphylococcaceae.